Molecule: ribosomal RNA, 254 nt
Filed under: uncultured bacterium
Lineage: Bacteria
Description: partial 16S ribosomal RNA
Rfam family: Bacterial small subunit ribosomal RNA
Source: RNAcentral
UACGAAGGGGGCUAGCGUUGUUCGGAUUUACUGGGCGUAAAGCGCACGUAGGCGGAUCGUUAAGUCGGGGGUGAAAUCCUGGAGCUCAACUCCAGAACUGCCUUCGAUACUGGCGAUCUUGAGUCCGGAAGAGGUGAGUGGAACUCCUAGUGUAGAGGUGGAAUUCGUAGAUAUUAGGAAGAACACCAGUGGCGAAGGCGGCUGACUGGACAUGUAUUGACGCUGAGGUGCGAAAGCGUGGGGAGCAAACAGGG